Molecule: unclassified non-coding RNA, 231 nt
Filed under: fungal sp.
Lineage: Eukaryota; Fungi
Description: partial internal transcribed spacer region
Rfam family: Eukaryotic small subunit ribosomal RNA (bases 1-46)
Source: RNAcentral
AAGUCGUAACAAGGUCUCCGUUGGUGAACCAGCGGAGGGAUCAUUAAAGAGUUGCAAAACUCCCAACCAUUGCUAAACAACCACUGUUUCUUCGGCGGGUGGCCGCAUGGCCGCGCGCACCCCUCUCGGGGGGACGCACCCCGCCGGAGCACACCAAACUCUUGUCAUUAUUGAUGCUCUGAGUAAAAAACACAAUUAUUACAACUUUCAACAAUGGAUCUCUUGGCUCUG